RNA transcript from Ailuropoda melanoleuca (giant panda), 3901 nucleotides. It is a transcript of the gene named endoplasmic reticulum metallopeptidase 1-like, with no coding region annotated. The record is from RefSeq and is a predicted model, not a curated record. The transcript has 3 exons. Lineage: Eukaryota; Metazoa; Chordata; Mammalia; Carnivora; Ursidae.
AGCCUCCCCAAAAGAGGUCAUUUUAAAAACUGUGUCCACUUUGUUCAUACUGUUAUUUUUACCCUUUCUGAAUACAGGAGGUAAUUAGAUCUGGAUUUUUAAGCCAAGUUGAAAUUUUUUCCCUUCUAGUUGCUGAUUAGUUCUGUUUACAUUUAUUUUUAUGACGGAUGCAUUUGGUCUCCAUUUCUUGCUUUAUUAGCUAUAUUCCUUUUUGUAGGACGGGUCUUCUUGAAUCUUUAAAAAGAAUAUUUUCUGGCAUUUAGGAAAGUUUUUGUUUUGACCACAUAUUCUGUAACCUUUUACUAUCUCAGUUUUUAGUGGCCUUAACUCUCCGGGUCUCUGCAGGUCUGCGGACUCUGUCUGCUUCCUCGCUUCGUCUCCGAGUCGGCCACAUUCUGUCCUAGGCUUCCGCCCUCACCGGAACACCGCCUGUGUACCGUGUUUGCGUCUGUUAAAAUCCUGUCUGUUGUUCUGCCACAGCUCUUGAAGUGACCUCUUGGUUGGAUGAAGCUUAUUCCCUAGAUUUCUGAAGGACUCACGGAUGCUAGGUUCUUAUGUUUCAACGACGGGUUUUCUCACUGUAAAUUCUGUGCCUUUUCUGCGGGCGCACGUUACUUGCCCCCGCCCCUGCCCGCAGGUGGAGGUGCAGACCGGAACCUCCCUUAGGUCUGCAGUGAGGAUGUUUGAGGUGAUACAGGCAUGUCCUUCGUAGUUUGGUGGCGAGUUAGCUGCUCUCCUUGAUGCUUUUCAGAAGAUGAACUCUUCAUCCUCUUCCUUCCAGGACCGAGCCACAUGUCCUUCUACGUUCGAACCCACAAAGGGUCAACACUUUCUCAGUGGUCUCUUGGCAAUGGCACCCCGGUCACAAGUAAAGGAGGGGACUACUUCGUGUUUUACUCGCACGGGCUCCAGGCCUCGGCAUGGCGGUUCUGGAUAGAAGUACAGGUCUUGGAAGAGCGGCCUGAAGGAAUGGUCACUGUGGCCAUUGCUGCCCACUACCUUUCUGGGGAAGAUAAGAAAUCCUCCCAGCUGGAUGCUCUGAGAGCGAAGUUUCCAGACUGGACAUUCCCCUCGGCCUGGGUGUGCACCUACAAUCUCUUUGUGUUCUAGUCUUCCGGAUGAGCGCUGAGUACACGCCGAGCGGAAUACCCCCGUGACAUAGUUUCCCCCGCGUGACAUGGAUGUUUGUAAGUCAGUGAUUGAGCACCUGUUCAGAGAGCUUCGUGGGCUGACACGAAGGGCCAAGCACCAUGAUGGUGAUGCUGUGGGGUUGUCACACAUGGCCUUUCUGACACUUGACGCCGGUUUCCUGGCACUGAAGCACACACAUGGGUACCACCACUACACACGUCAGUCUUCUCUAGGACCUCAAGGAUAAAAGCCAACAAACCACUUCAGUAGCCCUCCCCUUAAGAUCAUGAAAGAUGUGGAAGGUACUGUGAGCUGUUCAUGAGACAAAGGACAUUUCAACUGGAGACCAAGAUCAUGUGUUUUGUCAGAGGACGGUAGCUAAAAUCUGUUUGCUGGAGUAAUGAUCCCCCUUGAGACUGACCGUUAGGGAUUAGCAGGCAGGUUCAGCAACAGCUGGGGGAGAACCGGGGGGCUUCUGAGGCCCCCGCCUGUGCUGAGAGCUCUACUUCUUCAGGCAGCUGCUCAAAUGUGCUUGGCUUCUCUGUAGCGAAGCCCGGGCUCCCACCAUGGGAACCUCUGCUGAGCUGGGGACUCACGUCCUUCUGACAGGUGGUCCCUGAGAACUGUCGCUGUGAUGCAUUUCUGAGUUGCUUUUAAGGCUUGAUCUCUACCUUUUCCCGUCCACCUUGCCAACUGAAGUGGAGUAUUUGUUCCGCUACGUUUCCUGCGGGGCUCUUCUAGGCUCUUCUGGCUCGGGAUGUCGCGUGGCAAGCACACAGGCUUGGUUCUGUCCUCAGAGCCUGGGGCUGCCGUGGUGGCUGCUCUGGGCUGGGAAGUGAGUGGGGUGAGGAGUGGCUGGGCAUUUUAUAAAUAUUUAUUCUCUUCAUUUAAUAGGCAUGUUCUGUUAUCCAAGGUUAAUCCUUUAGGGUAUAAUUUUAUUGAUGCACUGAGUCCUUAGUUUUGUCUGUUUUCUCACCAGUCUGAAUAGUUUCUCCAUCCCUGUCCGGCAGAGCUGGCUUUCCUGGGGCAGGAGGGGGUGGCUUACACUGCAGUGAGGCCACUGGAGCAGCAGCUGCUGGUAUUAGGGUCCUGCAGAAGGGCAGGCCAAGGCCUUGAAGGUGCUGUUCAUUUUGAAGAUGGCUGUGUGGCUUGGGAGGCAUGUCACGGCGGUGCCUCUCAGGGCUUCUUGGCUCUGGCAGUGGAAGGGCUUGGGGAGAUGAGUGGUCAGUUCUCCUAGCUUUCUUUUUUCCAUUAAGAAGCUGAAAAGGUUGGAUAAAUUCUGAGUUUAGCAAGCAAAGGCCAAAAAAGACAUUUUUUUUAAAAAGCCACAGUAAAACAAAGUGGCGCUAAGUGCAGGGCAGGAGGCCACUGAAGCUGCUUGUGACUGGUGGCCAUAGUGUGCCUUCCCAGGCAUGCUCCUCCCGCUGCCUGCCUCACCCGGGACUCCUUCAGCCCUGACCCGGCCACGCAGCCCAGCACGGCCGCAGCCAGGGCUGAACUGCAGGCUGUGCUGCAAGUACCGGGCUCCUGCCCCUGGUACGGGUGUCGCCAGCGGACUUCUGAGUUUGUCAGGUGGUGCAGAAGGACUGCAGUGUUCGUAGCUUGUAGAGAUUCAGAGUUACGGACAAAAAGUGGUAUCUCAAUGAAUUUCAAAAUACAGGCCUAUUUUGUCCCUAUGGUUAAUCUGGAAUAGAUUUUUAUGGAGGGGGGAUCCCAUGUUGAGGACGUGCAUCAUAUGAAAGUGAUUUUCCCCCCUUUGGGAAGGAUGUGAUUCCCUUGCAGUAAGCAUCAUGGUUUUCCUUCUGCCUUCAUGUCAUUUUCCUUUGUAAACAGUGUCUUUUGCUUUGGUUUUCGAGAUGCUCACUGGUCUCAGGGCGGACUGCUUCAGUGCCGGAAGUGGCUGAGCGCUCAGACUUAGUCACGGCUCUGUUCAUAGCACACGCGCGGUCCGUCGGCAGCCUCGGAGACGCCUCAUUCAGAACUCACUUCUAAAAGGGUCUUUUCAAAUUCUAACAAACGCAGUUUAAAAGUAGCCCAGGGUUGCACAUUCAGUGAAAAUGUGAAGAACUGUGGUUUUGAAGAAAUGCUUACAGUUUACAUGGCGUCUGACCUAAGAAAGUAUCUGUUUCCCAGUUUAGCUGAUGGAAAUAAGCGCUGUAGGAUUGCUAAGAUGUCUCCACCAAGGGGGCCGUAGCCAGCUGCUCACUCGGGAAGCUGUAGCAAGAAGGAUGGUCUUUCCUUUCUUUUCACUGGUUUGCUGACUUGUUGAGGGUUAAUUGUUGCCUUACAUUAAACUUUUUAACCUACUAGGUUAGUAUCAUUAACAGAAAAACCAGAUCUUUAUUCUUCCGUAUCCUCAUCGUUGAAGGGUUAUUUCCAGUCCACAAAGCCUUUUUAAAACCUUUUUAAAAUUGCUUUUAAGAGAUCUAGAUGGCUCACGUGGGCAGAACGGGUAUGCGAGUGAAGAGCAAAACAAGGAGAUACUGGAAUGCUUUUUACUGUGGAAUGAAAUUGUGCAUCCUAUUUUGUUAAAUGUUGAGCUUUUUAAAAUCCUCUCCACUGGCAAAAUUGCUGAAGGGUGAAUCCAGAAGGAUUGUGGGGACAGGAAGAAAUGGUCUUUCAGCCAGUGGCCCACCACUCAUCACUCACCUCUCUGGAGACCCAAGGAAUGGGGGCACUGCCACUCCUCAGAACCGUUUGGUGCACCUCCCCAUUGUGCCCCUUGCCGCCUUUUAGGGCCAAUAAAGCCAAACGCAUUUAGGUCUCUUUA